Long non-coding RNA from Cynoglossus semilaevis (tongue sole), 459 nucleotides. RefSeq lists it as uncharacterized. The record is from RefSeq and is a predicted model, not a curated record. The transcript has 2 exons. NCBI's taxonomy places the organism in Eukaryota, Metazoa, Chordata, Actinopteri, Pleuronectiformes, Cynoglossidae.
GCUUGUGGUUGAGCCUAGCAGAAGUAGAAAAGUUGUUCCUGUAGCUUUAAGACGCAGGUUAGCUUUCUGUAAGCGAUGGUUGUUGGGUUUACUGUCUGUAGAAGCAGUACAGUGGCAAUAAAGGAGGUUCUCUUCCUGUUCUUCUUCAUGAAAAAAGUUCACUGGACUCCUGUAAGCUAAUCUGUGGUUUGAUUUGUGAUGAAAAAAUUGCAUUGAUGUUUCUCAUAAGGGAUAAUUCAAUGAACACAUGUCCUCACUUCAGGCUGUGGCUGGUGUUUGAUGUUGUUGUUUCACCAGUUUCCUGGUGUUUCUACACAUGAGGGGAAAUCGACAAUUUGUGUGGCUUUAGCUAUGGUUGAUGGUGAAAUGAAACUCGCUUCUUCCUCACUCAUCUUGACAUUAGGAAAACCACACAAACAAUAAGGAGCAGAAGUUGCACAAAUGUCAUCCAGUUGUUGA